UGAGGAAUAUUGGUCAAUGGGCGCAAGCCUGAACCAGCCAUGCCGCGUGUAGGAAGACUGCCCUAUGGGUUGUAAACUACUUUUAUAUGGGAAGAAACCCCUCUACGUGUAGAGGCUUGACGGUACCAUAAGAAUAAGCACCGGCUAACUCCGUGCCAGCAGCCGCGGUAAUACGGAGGGUGCAAGCGUUAUCCGGAAUCAUUGGGUUUAAAGGGUCCGCAGGCGGUUAAUUAAGUCAGAGGUGAAAUCCUACAGCUUAACUGUAGAACUGCCUUUGAUACUGGUUGACUUGAGUUAUACGGAAGUAGGUAGAAUAAGUAGUGUAGCGGUGAAAUGCAUAGAUAUUACUUAGAAUACCGAUUGCGAAGGCAGCCUACUACGUGUAUACUGACGCUCAUGGACGAAAGCGUGGGGAGCGAACAGG
Molecule: ribosomal RNA, 424 nt
Filed under: uncultured bacterium
Lineage: Bacteria
Description: bacterial SSU rRNA
Rfam family: Bacterial small subunit ribosomal RNA
Source: RNAcentral